GUUCUAGGCCAUGGUAUGAGCAUACUCUUUAUAUCUCUCCCAAGCUUCGAAAAGCGAUUCUCCUUGGUUUUGAGUAAAUCUAGUUAUUUGGUUUCGAAGAAC
Molecule: small nucleolar RNA, 102 nt
Organism: Lathyrus oleraceus (garden pea)
Lineage: Eukaryota; Viridiplantae; Streptophyta; Magnoliopsida; Fabales; Fabaceae
Source: RefSeq, a predicted model, not a curated record